This 285-nucleotide long non-coding RNA is filed under the name Lathyrus oleraceus (garden pea). RNAcentral's name for it is "Pisum sativum (pea) long non-coding RNA (PSAT_LNC010603)". Lineage: Eukaryota; Viridiplantae; Streptophyta; Magnoliopsida; Fabales; Fabaceae. The record is from RNAcentral.
UCACACGGUGCUAUUCUCUUUUACCUUUUCCCUUUUCUAUUUAUUUUUAAUUUGUAUUACCCUCGAUUAUAUUGGUCAGUCGAAGGGUAAUAUCUUUUGCGUUGACAUUUUCAAAUACCUUUUUUGUAUAUUAUUUUUAAUUAUUAAUUAAUCUAUUACCUCGAUUUUGUCUAAAAAACGAUGUGAUAGUUAUUUUAAAUUAUUUUUCAGAAUAUGGUGCUAUGGGGCUUUGCUAUUUUUUAAUUAAUAUAUUUCCCCAGUUUUGUCUAAAAACUAAUGUAUUUU